RNAcentral lists this unclassified non-coding RNA (423 nucleotides) under Hevea brasiliensis (rubber tree). Lineage: Eukaryota; Viridiplantae; Streptophyta; Magnoliopsida; Malpighiales; Euphorbiaceae. The record is from RNAcentral.
UUUUACUCUUCAUAAGAUUAUUCGGUACAUAUACAUGUUUUCCCCCCUAUUAUAAGCAUGUUUGAGACGUUGCUUUAAAAGAUGAGUUUCAUGUAUGCUUUCAAUCAUUUCAGGUUUGCCAUUUCAUGAUCAUGCAUUUGUCUUUCCUUUUUAUAGAUAUAUGACCUUCAAUGUUCUUUUUUAGAUAUUUUUCUUGGCGUUUUUAGAAAGGUCCAAUCACAUUUUUCUGCACGGAUUUGUAUUGUAGUGUCAUGAGUUAGUAGGAGGGAGAAAGGGAAGGGAGAGAUCUAAGAUGAUGUGGAGGGAAGUAGUAUCAAAUGAUCUAAAGUUUUGGAUAUUGAUGCAGACUUGGUAUCAAACAAAGCUGAAUAGUGAGAAAGGAUUCAUAUAGUAGACCCUAACUAGUUUGGAAUUAAGGUUUAG